GACGAACGCUGGCGGCGUGCCUAAUACAUGCAAGUUGAGCGAUGAAGAUUGGUGCUUGCACCAAUUUGAAGAGCAGCAAACGGGUGAGUAACGCGUGGGGAAUCUGCCUUUGAGCGGGGGACAACAUUUGGAAACGAAUGCUAAUACCGCAUAACAACUUUAAACAUAAGUUUUAAGUUUGAAAGAUGCAAUUGCAUCACUCAAAGAUGAUCCCGCGUUGUAUUAGCUAGUUGGUGAGGUAAAGGCUCACCAAGGCGAUGAUACAUAGCCGACCUGAGAGGGUGAUCGGCCACAUUGGGACUGAGACACGGCCCAAACUCCUACGGGAGGCAGCAGUAGGGAAUCUUCGGCAAUGGACGAAAGUCUGACCGAGCAACGCCGCGUGAGUGAAGAAGGUUGUCGGAUCGUAAAACUCUGUUGGUAGAGAAGAACGUUGGUGAGAGUGGAAAGCUCAUCAAGUGACGGUAACUACCCAGAAAGGGACGGCUAACUACGUG
RNAcentral lists this ribosomal RNA (497 nucleotides) under uncultured bacterium. RNAcentral's name for it is "partial 16S ribosomal RNA". It matches the Rfam family "Bacterial small subunit ribosomal RNA", at positions 28 to 507 of the family's 1533-position model. The record is from RNAcentral.